Molecule: ribosomal RNA, 2212 nt
Filed under: mouse gut metagenome
Description: bacterial LSU rRNA
Rfam family: Bacterial large subunit ribosomal RNA
Source: RNAcentral
CGGAUUAGACCCGAAACCGGGUGAUCUAUCCAUGAGCAGGUUGAAGCAAGGGUAAAGCCUUGUGGAGGACCGAACAGUCAACGGCUGAAAACGUUUCUGAUGACUUGUGGAUAGGGGUGAAAGGCCAAUCAAACCCGGUGAUAGCUGGUUCUCCCCGAAAUAUAUUGAGGUAUAGCCUCAGGGAUUGUCUAACGGAGGUAAAGCACUGAAAAAGCUAGGGGUCCUACCAGAUUACCAAACUUUAUCAAACUCAGAAUACCGUGUAGAUGUACCCUGGGAGUCAGACAGCGGGUGCUAAGGUCCGUUGUCGAGAGGGUAAGAGCCCAGAUCAACAGCUAAGGUCUCCAAAUACAUACUCAGUGGUCAAGGUGGUGGGGUUGUUUAGACAGCCAGGACGUUGGCUUAGAAGCAGCCAUCGUUUAAAGAAAGCGUAAUAGCUCACUGGUCUAAUGACUCUGCGCCGAAAAUGUAACGGGGCUAAGUAUGUUACCGAAGCUUUGAAUUGCACUUUAUGUGUUCUGGUAGGGGAGCGUUCUCUUGUAGGCUGAAGGUGUGUCGUAAGGCAUGCUGGACGAAAGAGAAGUGAUUAUGCUGACAUGAGUAACGAUAAAACAGGUGAAAAACCUGUUCGCCGAAAACCCAAGGUUUUCCGGGUAAAGUUAAUCUUCCCGGAGUUAGUCGGCCCCUAAGGCGAGAGCGAAAGCUGUAGCUGAUGGGAAACGGGUUAAUAUUCCCGUACUUUUAUGAUUGUGCGAUGGAGGGACGCAGGAAGAUAGGCUAUCCGGCUGUUGGAUGCCGGUGCAAGUGUGUAGGAGCAGGAUACAGGCAAAUCCGUAUCCCGAGUCUGAGACACGAGUCCGUGGGCGCAAGCCCUGAAGUAGUUGAGUCUAUGCUGCCAAGAAAAGCUUCUCAGUUUAGGUCAUAAAAACCGUACUGCAAACCAACUCAGGUGGGUGGGAUGAAUAAUCCAAGGCGCUCGAGAGAAUUCUGGCCAAGGAACUCGGCAAAAUAACCCCGUAACUUCGGAAGAAGGGGUGCUCCUUAUUGUGAUAUAUUUGCUUAUGUAGCAUUGAGGAGCCGCAGUGAAUUGGUGGUGGCGACUGUUUACUAAAAACAUAGGUCUGUGCGAAGUCGCAAGACGACGUAUACGGACUGACGCCUGCCCGGUGCUGGAAGGUUAAAAGGAGGGGUCAGCGCAAGCGAAGCUCCGAAUUGAAGCCCCAGUAAACGGCGGCCGUAACUAUAACGGUCCUAAGGUAGCGAAAUUCCUUGUCGGGUAAGUUCCGACCUGCACGAAUGGCGUAACGAUCUCCACACUGUCUCGGCCAGAAACUCGGUGAAAUUGAAGUCGCGGUGAAAAUGCCGUGUACCCGCAGAAAGACGGAAAGACCCUGUGCACCUUUACUAUAGCUUGACAUUGGAUUUUGGGCCUACAUGUGUAGGAUAGGUGGGAGACUGUGAAAUAUGUACGCCAGUAUGUGUGGAGUCAUCCUUGAAAUACCACCCUUGUAUGUCUAAGGUCCUAACGUGACGCCGUGAUCCGGCUCACAGACAGUGUCUGGUGGGUAGUUUGACUGGGGCGGUCGCCUCCUAAAGAGUAACGGAGGCAUACAAAGGUUCCCUCAGGCUGUUUGGAAAUCAGCCGUCGAGUGCAAACGCAUAAGGGAGCUUGACUGUAAGAGAGACAUUUCGAGCAGAUACGAAAGUAGGUGUUAGUGAUCCGGUGGUCCCGUAUGGAAGGGCCAUCGCUCAUUGGAUAAAAGGUACGCCGGGGAUAACAGGCUGAUCGCAUCCAAGAGUUCAUAUCGACGAUGCGGUUUGGCACCUCGAUGUCGGCUCAUCACAUCCUGGGGCUGAAGCAGGUCCCAAGGGUACGGCUGUUCGCCGUUUAAAGUGGUACGCGAGCUGGGUUUAAAACGUCGUGAGACAGUUUGGUCCCUAUCUUCUGUGGGCGUAGGAAAAUUGAAAGGGCCUGUUCCUAGUACGAGAGGACCGGAAUGGACGCACCUCUGGUGGACCUGUUGUCGUGCCAACGGCACAGCAGGGUAGCUAUGUGCGGAAGGGAUAACCGCUGAAAGCAUCUAAGCGGGAAGCCUGCCUUAAGAUAAGUUUUCCCUGAAGGACCGAUGCAGACUACAUCGUUGAUAGGCCGGAGGUGUAAGUAUAGCGAUAUAUUUAGCUGACCGGUACUAAUAGUCCGAUUGUCUUGUUU